AUGCUUCUGGUGAAAUGUUUGUCGUAUCAAGGGUCGUGUCUCAGUUCAUUUCUAUAAACAGGUCUGUUCUCCGGACAUAUGCACAUGAUGAUGUUAGUGUUGGAUCGUGGAUGAUUGGGCUUGCUGUAAAGCAUGUAAAUGAAGCAAAGCUAUGUUGUUCAUCAUGGCCCUCAGGAGCCAUGUGUUCAGCUCUUUGAUGGGUAGUGCUUCCCUGAAGAAGGGUUUUGUGAAGAGUGUGUUACACUGAAUAGAUUUUCGUUUUCUCUUGCCAUUUCUUUUUUUCUAUGCCAUCAUUGAGCAAGCAGUGCCGGUUCAUAGUGAAUGUGGUAUCUUCAAUGCGAAGGAGAAGUAUUGUACCUUUUCCUCGUAUGCCGACACUACCUGCCGUAGUUUUUUUGUCAUUCCCUAGAUCUCCAUCAGUACCAUUCUUUGCUGACAAACAUCACUGUUUGAGUGACAGAAAUUA
This is a long non-coding RNA of Triticum aestivum (bread wheat), 466 nucleotides long. RefSeq lists it as uncharacterized. The record is from RefSeq and is a predicted model, not a curated record. The transcript is spliced from 3 exons. Lineage: Eukaryota; Viridiplantae; Streptophyta; Magnoliopsida; Poales; Poaceae.